Molecule: non-coding RNA, 192 nt
Organism: Vicia faba (fava bean)
Lineage: Eukaryota; Viridiplantae; Streptophyta; Magnoliopsida; Fabales; Fabaceae
Source: the annotation of a GenBank genome assembly
AUGCCCAUUCUUGUUUAUCCUUCUUGUUUAGCCUUUGUGUUACAUUCAUGUCACCAAAGUAGCAUGUCAAAGUUUGGUCAUUAUGUGCUUCAAGUGAAUGUUGCUAAAACAUGUACACAAAUUGUCCAAAUUCAGCAUCAUUUAUUCAAAUUUCAUAAGUCAAUAUGCAACUACAUUCAAAAUUCAAACUAA